CCCUUAGAUGUCCGGGGCCGCACGCGCGCUACACUGAAGGAAUCAGCGUGGCUUUCUCCCUGACCCGAAAGGGUUGGGAAACCCGUUGAAUCUCCUUCGUGAUAGGGAUUGGGGCUUGAAAUUGUUCCCCAUGAACGAGGAAUUCCCAGUAAGCGCGAGUCAUAAGCUCGCGUUGAUUACGUCCCUGCCCUUUGUACACACCGCCCGUCGCUACUACCGAUUGAGCGGUCCGGUGAAGACUCAGGAGAUGGGCGCGUGCUUGGUUCGCCAACUGCGCUGCCUGCCAAAUUUGUCUAAACCUUAUCGCUUAGAGGAAGGAGAAGUCGUAACA
RNAcentral lists this ribosomal RNA (331 nucleotides) under uncultured eukaryote. RNAcentral's name for it is "partial 18S ribosomal RNA". It matches the Rfam family "Eukaryotic small subunit ribosomal RNA", at positions 1470 to 1796 of the family's 1831-position model. The record is from RNAcentral.